RNAcentral lists this ribosomal RNA (253 nucleotides) under uncultured bacterium. RNAcentral describes it as "partial 16S ribosomal RNA". It matches the Rfam family "Bacterial small subunit ribosomal RNA", at positions 524 to 776 of the family's 1533-position model. The record is from RNAcentral.
UACGUAGGGUCCGAGCGUUGUUCGGAAUUAUUGGGCGUAAAGAGCUCGUAGGCGGUCUGUCGCGUCGGAUGUGAAAACCCGGGGCUUAACCCCGGGCCUGCAUUCGAUACGGGCAGACUCGAGUGUGGUAGGGGAGACUGGAACUCCUGGUGUAGCGGUGAAAUGCGCAGAUAUCAGGAAGAACACCGGUGGCGAAGGCGGGUCUCUGGGCCACUACUGACGCUGAGGAGCGAAAGCGUGGGGAGCGAACAGG